AUUGAACGCUGGCGGUAUGCUUUACACAUGCAAGUCGAACGGCAGCACGGGGCAACCUGGUGGCGAGUGGCGAACGGGUGAGUAAUAUAUCGGAACAUGUCCGGAAGUGGGGGAUAACGUAGCGAAAGUUACGCUAAUACCGCAUAUGCCCUGAGGGGGAAAGGAGGGGAUCCGCAAGGACCUUUCGCUUUCGGAGUGGCCGAUAUCGGAUUAGCUAGUAGGUGAGGUAAAGGCUCACCUAGGCGACGAUCCGUAGCGGGUCUGAGAGGACGACCCGCCACACUGGAACUGAGACACGGUCCAGACUCCUACGGGUGGCUG
Molecule: ribosomal RNA, 321 nt
Filed under: uncultured Pseudomonadota bacterium
Lineage: Bacteria; Pseudomonadati; Pseudomonadota
Description: bacterial SSU rRNA
Rfam family: Bacterial small subunit ribosomal RNA
Source: RNAcentral